ACCUGCGGAAGGAUCAUUAUUGAGGGCGUAUGGGCUUAAUAACCCCUGCG
This 50-nucleotide ribosomal RNA is filed under the name Peltigera hymenina. RNAcentral describes it as "partial 18S ribosomal RNA". Lineage: Eukaryota; Fungi; Ascomycota; Lecanoromycetes; Peltigerales; Peltigeraceae. The record is from RNAcentral.